GCGUGCGGGCUUGGAUCAUGGCUUUAAUCGACUUCUGCGGAAGUGGAAAGCCAAAAAUGAUGGAGCGCCCAAGGUGCGCGGCUUGACCGGACCGAUUGUACGCACCCUUCGGAGCCGGGACGUGCUAGCCUUGAGCGCUGCGAAUCGACGAAUUUAAUCAUUUCGACCUCAAAUCAGGCAGGACAACCCGCUGAACUUAA
Molecule: unclassified non-coding RNA, 200 nt
Filed under: soil metagenome
Description: partial contains internal transcribed spacer 2 and large subunit ribosomal RNA
Source: RNAcentral